GAUGAAGAACGCAGCGAAAUGCGAUAAGUAAUGUGAAUUGCAGAAUUCAGUGAAUCAUCGAAUCUUUGAACGCACAUUGCGCCCGUCAGUAUUCUGACGGGCAUGCCUGUCCGAGCGUCAUUUCAACCCUCAAGCGCAGCUUGGUGUUGGUGGAUUGCGUGCCCUCGCGGCGCUGCAACCGCCCAAAUACAGUGGCGGUCCCGCUGCGGCUCCCUUUGCGUAGUAACUCACCUCGCACUGGACCGGGCGGCGGCCUGCCGUAAAACCCCAACUCACGAAAUGUUGACCUCGGAUCAGGUAGGAAUACCCGCUGAACUUAAGCAUAUCAAUAAGCGGAGGA
This 340-nucleotide unclassified non-coding RNA is filed under the name soil metagenome. Its description in RNAcentral is "partial contains 5.8S ribosomal RNA, internal transcribed spacer 2, and large subunit ribosomal RNA". The stretch from base 1 to 120 matches the Rfam family "5.8S ribosomal RNA", at positions 35 to 154 of the family's 154-position model. The record is from RNAcentral.